GAUCUAACACGAAUCUCUAUUGGAGAAAUUCACCAGAUAAUUCGGUCCACUCUUGACAAACUAUGUGAGUAUAGAAAGUUGUUUAAAGAAGUCAUAAACAAGAACAAGUCUUUACAGAAAGCCUGUAACAAGUCCUAUUUUCAGAUCAAAUGUAAGGAGAAAGCUUGUGUAUGUAAAAAAAUAAGAAAUUUCAUCAGAAGAAGUAUGUGCACAAGUCAGAGAAAGGCCAACAUUGUGCAAGGAGAAAUUAAAGGAAGUGCAGGAGGUAGAGCAAUUUCCUGCUUAUUUUCCUUUUCUCUUUGUUUUCUCAAAAUUUCCAAAGCCAUUUCAUAAAUUGGUAAAGGAUUAGGUUGUUGUAUUUCUU
Molecule: unclassified non-coding RNA, 364 nt
Filed under: Hevea brasiliensis (rubber tree)
Lineage: Eukaryota; Viridiplantae; Streptophyta; Magnoliopsida; Malpighiales; Euphorbiaceae
Source: RNAcentral